Molecule: ribosomal RNA, 352 nt
Filed under: Acrapex lukumbura
Lineage: Eukaryota; Metazoa; Arthropoda; Insecta; Lepidoptera; Noctuidae
Description: partial 12S ribosomal RNA
Source: RNAcentral
UAAAAUUUAAAAUUAUUAUACUAAAAUAGUAAAUAAUUAUUUAUUGAAACUUAAAUAAUUUGGCGGUAUUUUAGUUCAUUUAGAGGAAUCUGUUUAAUAAUUGAUAUUCCACGAUUAAAUUUACUUAAUUUAUAAUUUUGUAUAUCGUUGUUAUAAAAAUAUUUUUUAAUAAAAUUAAUAUUUAAAAAUUAUUAUAUAAAUUUAAAUCAGAUCAAGAUGCAGAUUAUAGUUAAGAAUAUAAUGGAUUACAAUAAAAUUAUUUAAAUGAAUAUUAAUUUGUAAAAAUUAAUUGAAAGUGGAUUUAAAUGUAAUUUUAUUUAUUUUAAUAAAAUGAUUAAAAAUUAAAAUAUGU